AAAAAUAUCUUUAUAAAGAUAAUAUGAAACAGAAGUAUUUUUGUCUCUUUACAGACAAUUUCACUUUUGUCUGUUUCAACACAUUAGUUGGGAUUAAAGAUAUAUUGUGCCUACAAAUUUUUCUGAUGGAGACAAUAUGUCUUUAAUCCCAGCUAUUGUAUCGAAACAGACAAAAGUGAAAUUGUCUCUAAAGAGACAAAAAUGUUUCUGUUCCAUAUUAGCUUUAUAAAGACAAUUUUUUAAGCAAUAACUUGAGACAUAUGCUUAAAGACAAUACUUAAGACAAUACACAAGUUUUUGGAUCUCAAGUUAAAAUAGCUUACUAAAAAAUUGUCUCAAAAAUUAUCUUAAACCUCCUCUAUGUAGUCAUGAGUGCUAUGUAGUCAUGAGUGCACAUUCAGGUGGCGGCAAACCCUUAGGGCAUCGACCAAAGGGAAGAUCAAAAGAGGUUUAGAUUUGUGUUAGCGGCACAAACAGGAGGUGCUGCCAAAAGUGAAGGGGGAAGACGACAUCUCCAAGUGAUGAUAGACCAACUAGGCACUGGUUUCACACUCCUUUAUCCCUUUUAUUUCACUACCGCUCUGAACUAGAUUUUCUUUUCUUUGGCUAUGAGAUAGCAUGUAAAUUUCUUCUCAUUUAUGCCCUAUAUCUUGUAGAAUUUUUACUCUCUAUAUUUCAGUAUAUUAUCAUUGUAAUGAGCCGAUUUAAAUAAUUUUCUAAUAAAGAAUUGGGCAUGUAGGGCUAUGGUAAUGGGUAUAAUCAUCAUAUAAUCACAUAAGCACUAAUGAGAAAGUCAUAAAUAUUGUUCAUUCCCAGUAGCUGGUCUACCUCUUGGUGUCGAAUUCUUACACGUUACACGAUGGAACAGAUAUACUUUUCAGGUAAGUUUUCUAUCUUUUGAUUCAAUGUGUAAGCCAGAACCACAAAUACUACCAAUGCCAUCAAUCUCAGGGAAGGAUGGCCCUGCCUUCUUCAAGAAAUUUAACAUCAUUUCAGUUUUUAUAGCCAUAUUUAUUGAUGUAACGAUAAGUCCAUACAAUUCUAAUUACUAUUGUUUGACUGGUAUGGUGGCUUUGCAUGAUAACUAUGGAGGAUGGACCUUUUAUUGGAAUUGAUAAGUCCUAAGAUAAACAACACUUCAUCAAGAGUAAAAAGGGGCUAUAUUCUGCUUUUCAGGAAGCUUCAAAAAGUUGCAUAUUUUGACUCUGGUCGUGCGCAAUUGGGUGAUUAAUAGAAUAUGUAGAAAGGCUCUAAAUGUCAGAUUUUGUUAAUCUAUUUUGAGCUCUUUGCUAGGAUGUAAAAAAGCUUCUGAAUGUCAGGAUCAAGAGGCUCAGCUGGGAUUUGAUUUCCCAAUGCUUGGUAGUGCAAAAAUGAAAAAUCUUCUUGGAGGUUUCUUUAUCAAUUACUAAACUGUACCUCUAGUUUAGAAGUCUUCCUUUAUAAAUCGACUAUUUCUCACCAUUGAUUUUAAUGCAUUCAAGGCUAAAACUUAAAUCUAGACAAAUACCACCUAGUUCUCCAACCAACAAGCUAUCUGCUACACAUUUUUUCUAUCCAAAAUUGAGGAUUUGAUGUUGUAAUUGUUAUUGGGAAUAUUGUAAUACAGAUCUCAUUAAUAUAGAAGAUCUAGUUAUUUGAA
This is a long non-coding RNA of Cryptomeria japonica (Japanese cedar), 1639 nucleotides long. RefSeq lists it as uncharacterized. The record is from RefSeq and is a predicted model, not a curated record. The transcript has 2 exons. NCBI's taxonomy places the organism in Eukaryota, Viridiplantae, Streptophyta, Pinopsida, Cupressales, Cupressaceae.